RNAcentral lists this ribosomal RNA (325 nucleotides) under Coleodactylus meridionalis. RNAcentral's name for it is "partial 16S ribosomal RNA". It matches the Rfam family "Bacterial large subunit ribosomal RNA", at positions 2073 to 2637 of the family's 2925-position model. Lineage: Eukaryota; Metazoa; Chordata; Lepidosauria; Squamata; Sphaerodactylidae. The record is from RNAcentral.
UAAAACCAUAAGACGAGAAGACCCUGCGGAGCUUUAAAAACACCACUUUUUAAGUUGGGGCGACUACGGAAACAAAAAAAACUUCCACGACCAGGGCUAACCCCCCCAAAAAAGGACUCACACACCAACCCAGCUGAUCAACGAACCAAGUUACCCCAGGGAUAACAGCGCCAUCCUCUUCUAGAGCCCCUAUCGCCAAGAGGGUUUACGACCUCGAUGUUGGAUCAGGACCCCCUAGUGGCGCAGCCGCUACUAAAGGUUCGUUUGUUCAACGAUUAAAGUCCUACGUGAUCUGAGUUCAGACCGGAGUAAUCCAGGUCGGUUU